GGACCCGCACAAGUAGUGGAGCAUGUGGUUUAAUUCGAAGAUACGCGCAGAACCUUACCAACACUUGACAUGUUCGUCGCGACUCUAAGAGAUUAGAGUUUUCGGUUCGGCCGGACGAAACACAGGUGCUGCAUGGCUGUCGUCAGCUCGUGUCGUGAGAUGUUGGGUUAAGUCCCGCAACGAGCGCAACCCUCACUUUUAGUUGCCAUCAUUUAGUUGGGCACUCUGAAAGAACUGCCAGUGAUAAGCUGGAGGAAGGUGGGGAUGACGUCAAGUCCUCAUGGCCCUUACGUGUUGGGCUACACACGUGCUACAAUGGCACUUACAAUGGGAUGCAAAGAGGUGACUCUAAGCUAAUCCCAAAAAUGUGUCUCAGUUCGGAUUGUCGUCUGCAACUCGACGGCAUGAAGUCGGAAUCGCUAGUAAUCGC
This 430-nucleotide ribosomal RNA is filed under the name uncultured bacterium. Its description in RNAcentral is "bacterial SSU rRNA". It matches the Rfam family "Bacterial small subunit ribosomal RNA", at positions 917 to 1345 of the family's 1533-position model. The record is from RNAcentral.